This 286-nucleotide unclassified non-coding RNA is filed under the name Hevea brasiliensis (rubber tree). The record is from RNAcentral. Lineage: Eukaryota; Viridiplantae; Streptophyta; Magnoliopsida; Malpighiales; Euphorbiaceae.
UUUUCAAGGUGUUUGAGAUUCCACAUAAAAAGCAGAUUGGAGAAUUCUGCAGACUACUGCAUCGACUGCUGCAUAGACUGAAAGCGCUUCAUGAUAAUCAUGGUCGUGUCCGCAAAGCGCUGAGCACAGUUGGUGAGACAUGCAUGCUCACUUGAGCUGAACUUGCUUCCAGGAGCGCCGGUGAUGCAUUUGUCCCAGCAAGCACUAGUCAGUUUAGACACCAUUUCACUCACCUGCACUCUCUGCUGCUCUUGCUCGAGAAAUCGCUGCAGCUCCUCGGUGUUCU